This 459-nucleotide ribosomal RNA is filed under the name Enterovibrio gelatinilyticus. Its description in RNAcentral is "bacterial SSU rRNA". It matches the Rfam family "Bacterial small subunit ribosomal RNA", at positions 1 to 454 of the family's 1533-position model. The record is from RNAcentral. Lineage: Bacteria; Pseudomonadati; Pseudomonadota; Gammaproteobacteria; Vibrionales; Vibrionaceae.
UAAUUGAAGAGUUUGAUCAUGGCUCAGAUUGAACGCUGGCGGCAGGCCUAACACAUGCAAGUCGAGCGGUAACAUUUCAAAAGCUUGCUUUUGAAGAUGACGAGCGGCGGACGGGUGAGUAAUGGCUGGGAACCUGCCCUGACGUGGGGGAUAACAGUUGGAAACGACUGCUAAUACCGCAUGAUGUCUACGGACCAAAGAGGGGGAUCUUCGGACCUCUCGCGUCGGGAUGGGCCCAGUUGGGAUUAGCUAGUUGGUGAGGUAAUGGCUCACCAAGGCGACGAUCCCUAGCUGGUUUGAGAGGAUGAUCAGCCACACUGGAACUGAGACACGGUCCAGACUCCUACGGGAGGCAGCAGUGGGGAAUAUUGCACAAUGGGCGCAAGCCUGAUGCAGCCAUGCCGCGUGUGUGAAGAAGGCCUUCGGGUUGUAAAGCACUUUCAGCAGUGAGGAAGGCGG